CGGCUUCCGGUGCUGCGGUGACUUACCGCCGGAAGGCGAGAGUCCGCGGGAAAAGCGGUCUUGUUAGGUGGUCACUGUGGCUUGGGGCUGAGGCGGUCCCCUCAAGAGUAACCGCGGGCCUGUGCCACGGUCACGCCACUGGCCUUCGUUUCCUUUAGCCUUCUCGCUCACCAAAAGAUUUUCCCGUCCAGUUAUAAAGUGCAAGUUGUUUGCCAAAGGGAUUACUCUUUGGAUUAACACCUGUAGGAAAUGAGCUGCACUGCAUCCCAGCGAAGACCUCAGCCAACCCCACAGCUGAGAUGGAGCAGUAGCAACCAGAUGUACCUUUCCCAGCUGAAACAACUAAAAAGACAAAAUAGAUCAAAGAAUGGUUCUUGAGACACCGGACAUCACACAGUGAAGAACAGCGAUCCCCGGGAGAGGAGAAACAAGAUGCAGUACUCCUGGGAGCUGUGGUUCAGUCGGUGGUGGUAACUGGGGCAUGCCUGGCUGCCUUGAAUGAUUAAGAGCAUAUCUUCCUACCUGGAGUCCACUGUCAAGAGUAUGACACUAACCAGGUUGCUUUCCUGCCUCCUCCACACUGGAGCUCCCGUCUCGAUCUGGAACAGCCGCUGGGAGGAACAUGCUGCUGGGCAUCACCAUCUCAGGGGUGGUCACCUGAAGAGCAAGCGGCAGAGACAUGAGGCAAGUCAAAAGGAGAGGAAAGAGACCCAAAUAGGAAAAUGUGUAGAAAUUAUUUAAUAAGCAAAAUUAGCCUUCACCAGUGUUAAGGCUGGAGGUGUCACUUUCCAUAGCUCACUGAAGAUUCAUGUUUAUUAGACAAAGCUCACAUCAGUCAAAAGUGUUUCUACGGUUACAUUCUGGACAUAAUUAGCAGUGCACACUUGAAGAAUAAUCUUAUUAUUAAUAUUUUUCCUUUAUGCAGAAUUUUGACUUUGAUCACUGACAAUGUUUUGUCAUGGGCUGUGAAACUUCUUGUGCAACCAAUUAGGUAGAUAAGUUGAAAGGCCCACCUUAAGCUGCUGAAAACAUAAUAAGGGCCCUAAUUAAAUCAUACCUAGUAAAGUACACUGUAAUCUUGAAGCAGGGAGCAUUGUAGUACUAUUUUCAAAAUGUAUUCAGGCAAGAAGAGGAGGGGAAUGAGCGAGAGAAAGGGUAAGAAGAAGAGAGGAGAACAAAGGGAAGGCUAAGGACAUGCAGACACACUGGCAGAUUUUCUAGGAAACAACAUUGUGUAACCCUUUAUAAACUGAGAUCAAGUGCAAAUGAGCAUUUCUUAUGACUGACUUCAGUCAGGAUUUCUCCCAGGGUCUCUGCCUGAGGUACACAGCAUCGGAGGGAACUUCCACCUGUGUGGUAGCCCAGAGGGUGUCCUGCAUCCUACAACAGGGCAGCCCCACCUUGGCCAUGGCUAUUGCUGCCCAAUAUAGCAACCUGGGUCAAAAGAGCUACAAUUUAAGGUCAGAUUUUAGGGAUUUAUUUCUCCAGGCUGUCCUGCCAUCUGGCCAGAAACUUGUCCAAACACAUUAUCAUUUGCCUUCCAUUAAUAUGAUAAGAAGUCCUCAGUAUGCAACAUAAGGCUUAAAAGCCUCCUCAUUUAAAAAGAAGCAGCGCCCCUUUGCCUGCUACAGGACAGCAAGGUAGUUGAGGAUAUGCCCAGAUGAAUCAGAAAUCGUCCCGUUUGAAUGCAGCCUGAGACAUAAACUGACCCCGAGGUAACAGGAACAGAAACGUACAGUCACCACUAGCCUUUCUAUGAGGCACCCAGCCCACGUGGAGACAUUGUUUCCUCAUCAAACAUACCACUGAGAUAGUAUCUUCUCUUGCUGUUGCAAAGACUGGAACAUCUAGAUUACUGUUCAAAAUUAAAUAUUUAAAAUAAAUUUUACUAUUCUUAAUGGUUUGAGGAUUCUGGCCUUGUUCAAAAUCACUGCCCAUGCAUUCACUAGAAUCAUCAGUGGUAGGUUCCACCUCAAGGGGAAACUCGGGACAGCUGUCCCCAUAAAUACCAAAAAGGUAACUCCCCCUUACGUUUCAGGGUGUUAGGAUAAUCUCAGCAACCCAGAUGCCCAAAGGUGCAGAAAUUAAGCAACAGGCACUGUGGAGAAGGACUCUGAGGAGCCCUGUGUUUAUGAACAGCAGGUGCAUGGUAGGUGCACGUGAGUGACACAGAACCCCUCUUGCACAGACAUUGCACCCUCACACAAAGCUUGCCAGCAGCUGGUUAAGGCUAGCUGUUGAUGAAUCGUUAGGAAUGGAGCAGAGAUUGCCAAACUCAUUCCAUCUAUUUUCUUUUUAAUAGAAAGCAUGUCUGACCAGUGUGGUUGGGGAGUCCAGCGGGAAUCCAAGAAGUGAAAGGUCACCGAUUAAUUUAUAGUCCUCAACCGAGGGGGAGCACGAGGUUGGGGGCAAGAUGGGGAGAAAGGGAAAGGAAAAAAAGACUCCCCACCACCACCUUUCUCAGUUGUAGCUGCAGGAUCAGUCCUUUCCUGGGAUCUUUAGGAAUUAUGAAAAAUGAAUCAUGAGAAAUAAAAAAAAGCCCUACAGAGUAAAAAAGAAUAAAAUUAUCUAACACCUCAGCUGCACAUCAUUAUAGAAAACUGUGGGCUCUUUAUACGCAUUACAGUAAGGCAGACAUCCCCUCUAACAGACUCAGUACGACGGAUCAGUAAUUGUUUUCAUACACUUUAAUUAGAAAAACUCAGAUGGCUAUGAAUAAUAAUGGAAAAGAGAGACUUUUGCACUUGAAAGGUUGAAGUCAAUCAAGUGUGAAUGACGGCAAAAAAGAAAAAAAAAAAAAAAGACACCAAUUCAUCAGCCCUCUGUUGUCUCGCCGCGACUUUAAUCAUAAUUCCUGAUUGGGAUUCAAGAAGGCAGUAAGCAGCGGUUCUUUGUCUGCCUUCACCUUCCAUCAAUUAACUCUCCCCGAAAUAUAAUCAUCAACCUCACAUGCUCCUCUGCAUCUUAAUCUGGGCCUCCAAACCUGUAAGUCUUGCCCCAUAUAUGUUUAAGUAAUUACUUUUAUCUACCUGCAUCUUCUCAUCUAUAGUGUACCCAACCUCUCCCUGAAAGCAAACAAACGAAAAAGAUUCAGCAUAUAAAAUCUUAAUGGACAAGAAGUUCCCAGGAGACUUGAGAGGAAGACUCCUGAAGGGAAUCCUGAGGAUCUAGAAAUUCUGACGGGGUCUAUCUGCCCAUGUGUCUGAACAGAGAGAUUGCAAUGGAAGCCGCUUUGCUAUGCAGGACACUGACGGACCCCAUGUCAGCUCUUGGAUGUUAAAUGUUCCUGUGUCUGUGUCCACUCCUCUUUCUCCUACCAGCUUCUCAACCCUGUCACUCACAGUUUCCACACUUUUUUGGUCAACAGCCAGAAGUACGGUCCUGCCAAUGCCUCACUGAGGCGCUGUGCUUACAGAAGAUGAUGUAAGUUGGCCAUGGCAGAGUUCCUUCAGCACCCCUUGUUUCCCAAUCAGAUCUGGCGGCCAUGCAGCCAGGCUGGAGGUCCCUGGGAAAGACGGUCACUCACCAGCGCCAAGCACAGUUCUGUAAAGGCCUUCCUUUCACAAGGAGCAUCAGAGCACACUGGCAGGCGAAGGGACAAAACCUGCCCACAGUAUAACCAGCCUCCACCCACCCUCACCAAACGUGUCCAAGCCGCAGACCCCCCCAAGCACUGGAUGCCACCAUUACACACUCAGCCCCAGCACCCCCAACCACAGACUCAAAUGCCGAACAAAGAGAUUAAGGUUUGGCCAGACCACACUCAGUCCAAACACCUACUCGUCCCACAUCAACAUCCAUGUAGACUGAUUCUUCCAGUAACCUUACACCCAUCCACAAUGAGUAUGUUAAAUUACAUUCUCCCAUACUUGACACUAAUGUAUAAAUGGGACUUAAGACUAUGAAAACAGACGUUUGACUGAAAGUCCAAGUUUUUGAGGUAAGAAAGUUCAAUCUGUUAGAGCCAUGACUUCCUCAGAAUUUGAGUCUCUCUUGAUUGGUGGCCGUCUGGAUAGCACACGCCUUCUUCCUGCCUCUCUGAGCCAAGUCAGGUAUGCAGAGUUGAUGGGAACACAGGAACAAAGUAUCAUCUGAGCAGCGAUAGAACCUUCCAAACAGGUAAACAGUCUCACAUAGAGUGAGAAAUGGGGAGUUCUGUGCUGAUGCUGGAAAUCUUCAAGUUUCAGCAAUUUUCAUAUAUGACAAUAGAAGUAGAAGCAUUCUACUUCUUCACGUGAAGAAAAAUCUUCAUGCUUAAGCAAUUCCAAAACAACUCAGUUGAUGAGAAGGGAGGGCCUCAAGUGAUUCUGCUUGUCCAUUCAUUUGACCAUCAUUCACUAAACUUUGUACAAGGUCCCUAUGCCACUUGCUUGUGAGACAGAGCGAGACCAGGUCCCUGGGCCCAAGAAGCUCACAUCCAGAAUAAUUAACCUUUUAGAUAUCAUAAACUCAUUAGGAAAUCUGAUGAAAGUGGCAGGCUCCUAGAAAAAAUACUUUCAAACAGACUAUUGCAGAUAAUUUCAGGAAAUCACAGGCUCCCUAGAGAGAAAUUCCUGGACUCAAGUUAAUUGCCCUUGAACUACUAGGAAAGGUGAUAUGGCUUUGUAAAUACCUCCUGUUCGGUUCACCAUUAUUUAGGAUUAUGAUUUAAUGCCUUUCAAGUUUCUAUGACAUGAGUGGGCCUGAAAGCCUCAAGGACUCAUUUUAUAAAAGCCAGAGUCUUAGAUGUGGGCCUGGUCCCCACUGUGACAUGCAGGAGGGGCCGCUGAUGUUUACUCUUUCUCAGUGGAAGAAGCUGGAUUAUAAGGAGCCGCCACACUCUUUGCUUUCUUUGGGUCAUGGACGUGAAAUGGCCAAAUACAACACCUUGAGCAACCAAGGGGUAUAUAAAUUUUGCUAAAUUCUUAACGGGACUGUUCAUGCAAAUUCAUCCCUCAAGGCCACCCUGAGGUUAGAUCAAUGCAACCAACCAAGUUCCACAUGCUGGCAAGCAAAGGUAUCUUCUCAGACCCAAGUACUGCACCUCACUUCUCUGAGACUUUCAUCCCCACAGCCUUGGCAGUGCUCACCUGAGUAGAGUUGCUUUCUGAAAGGCUCCCUAUUCCAAGUGAAAGGACAGGUUUGCCAAAAUCUAGACUCCCAAAGAGACUGAAAUCCUUCAUAUUUCAGUAAAAAAUAAACAGACUGAAGAGCCUCAGAUGAAGGGAAAGAAAGAGGAAAUGAUGACAGAGGGAAAGACAGGACCUCAGACACAGGCCUUCCCAACAGAGACCUGGCUAGUCUGUACACCUGGUGAAUGAGGUAUUGGUCCUAUUCUUUAAAAGCCAACGAUUCCAGACCUUAGCAUUCUAGCUAGUGGGGGAUCUAGAGUUGAUGGUGCCAGUGAGGGUCUAGCUGCUCACGUUCUCCUCUGACCUCAAUGGCUGCCAGGAUGCAGGAGCUGUCUGCACGCCUGCAGCCAGCAAGCCAGGCACUGCUUAGCAGCAAAGCCUCAGAGUUUUGUUUUGUGUGUGUGUGUGUGUUUUUUUUUUUUUCCUACUACCUUCCAGUUGUGCUAGGUUGGGCGCUGGACCCUGGUGUCAAGAAGGCCAUGUCUCUGUCUCGUUUCCCUUCUAAAAUGUCAUCUAUGUGGCUGUCUUUUUUUUUAAUCUAAAACCCAUGAGGAAAAAUUAUAGAGCAAUAUUAACAUUCAUAUGGGCCAAAAACAAAUGUAGCCCUGAACCAGAUUUUAAAAAUCUAAGAAUCAGAAAGACUGAAAAAAGGAGAUAGGUAGGAGAACAGGAAACACAUGAACAGUUGUCUCUCUCUCUCUCUCACACACAGACACACACACACAGCAGAAGAGAGAGAGAAGAGAGCUGAGAAGGAGACUGAAUUGGAGAGAAAAGCUUCAUUAGACUCAGAGAGGCAAGCAGUGGCAGUAUACCAAGGUCACUUCUAAUUUAGACCAUCUAAUUGGCAAACAGGCUCCAAAUGGCUAUCAUCUCACAGGACUUGGAAUUAAUGAAGCCCGAUUAUUUUCAUUACCUUCCUCUGAGAUGGAGACAAAGUGAGAGCUGGUACCCAAGUGGGUGCCACAGCCUCAGGGCCAGUGGCCACCCGAGAGCCCUGAUGCAGGGGGGCCAAGCGGCCAGCCUGGUCUAGAGACUCAGAUGUAUGGGCACACGGGGAGCACAGAGAGAGAUGCUGACCGAAAACAUCACAGGAGUCAGACAGCUGUGGGGUGGGGUGAGGCGUGGGGGGUGGGAGCUGUGGAAUUGCAGGCAGCGUGGGUCCAGGAGCUGUGAAGGGGAAUCAGUGCAUGUACAAAACAUACAGGAUAAUUAAGAACUACUAAAGGGAACAAAGACGAAGGGCUAGAGAAAAAGGUGUUCCUGGCUGCUCCAGACUCAGCCCCAUUCUCCGCCAUGAGGUCACACUUUGCUAAGUGAUGGAGGAACAAAGACAGUUUCCCUGUGUUAAUGCUCUGCAAUCCCAGUGGUGUGUCCUGCCACUUAGAAGAACAGUGAUUAGUUAGAAUAAUUCAGGACCACUGAAAAUUAUUGUAGGUGGUCUUUCCUAUUCUCAUUUAGGGGCUAGAAACCUGACCCCCUUGCCCUCAACCCUCCUCCCCUAGAAAAGUGAGCAAAAAGAGGUGGCACAAGCAGUGACCCCUAUACCCCCAUCACUGACUCAGACUCUCGAACUUCCCUGUCACUAGAUGAGAGUGCUAUAUGACUGGCGUUGGGGACCAGCCGCUCAGUGGGGCCUGGAGGGGCACUUGUCUCACUGCCUUAAGCUUUAUACAUUUCCUUCUUUCUUACCAUGUGUGUAAAGACAACCUUUGGAGCUCUGUUUCCCACAGGCCCAGCAGAAUGAACUGCUGUGGGUGCAGUUUCCAUAGCAGAGGGCCAGAGCUGCAAUUGUUCCCAGUGGAGAAUAUUUUUCAAGCCCCUUCAUCGGUAAAAAGAAGGGGGCCCAUGGAGGACACAGAUAUGAGAUGCAGAGCAUAAGCAAGCAGCUGUUACCAUAGCAACAGACAUAUUAGACACUGCAGGUUCCUGAAAGCUGUCUGAUAAGGUAUUAUUAAAUGAAGCCUCCUCAAAACACUCUCCAUUUACAACUGAACGGAAAGACAUUGUAUAGAAAGUAAUCUAUUUCCAUUUAUCAAGGUGGAAUUUACUUUUAGAGAGACUGAAACCCAAUUCAAGCCAGAUCCUGAGACCUUGGGCCCAGACAGCAAAAAAUAUUUACCAGAAUUUACAGCUUCAGAUACCAUGGACACACCCCACAUCUGCCAGGAGGUGUCUGUUUGGUAGAUUUUGCCAGGUUUUCCUAGUCUGAACCAAAGGCAGUGCAUUCAGUCAAACCAUCUGGCAAGGAAGAAGAUUCACUCCUCUCACUGCCAUUCAUCCGGGCCACUCAAAGAUAAAGCAGACGUAACUUUCUCCUCUGGGAGGAUGAAUGACUGGACAUUGACCAUUCCUUAAUGAUACAGUUUAGAAAAUGGAGCUCUGAUUUGAGGGGUAUAUCUCAUCAUGCUGUUUUCAGAGUUUCCUGCUCUAGAUGGCCAGGAACAAACAGAUACACCAUCAAAAAGUCUAACCAAUACUUCCUCUUGGACAGUUUUCUAAUAAAAUUGCCAUAAAAAUAGCCUCCAGGGGCAUGAUUUUAACCACAGGUUCAUUAUAAACAGUUGUAAAACAAUUUCAAAAUUUCAUUUUAACACCAUACUUUUCAGAGGGAGGACAGUGGCAGCUACUUAAUUGUUAGGGUCAAGACCAAGAUGAGCAGUCCAGCCCUCAAAUAGGGUGCCUGGGUUCACCCCAAAGUAUGGCCACAAACUCCCCUCCAACCUUGGCUACUUGUCUUUUUCUUGCUGAUCCUGCUAAAGGAUGGAGAUGGAACUGCUUUCUUUAGCUUGACACAACACAUCCUCAUGACUUAAGAAACCAGUUCAAUACCAACAGCCAUGCAGUGACUCCAUCUUCAUGCAAAGAGAGGGCAUCAAACUGACCUUACAGACACCUUUAGUCAAAUGUAAAACCCUUACAUGAUUACAGUUCCCACAACUUUCAACUUUAUUUCUGAAUCCAUUAACUGUCUCCCGUUGCUAGCAAAUGAACUUCCUUACAGUCAGCACAUUUCCCACAAUUUGCACACUUUUUCAGAAAUGUCUAGAAAACACCUCCAUUGUGUGCUGUGGGAAAAUGAGGUAGGUUUACAGGGGUUUCUGAACAGGUGCCAAGCACAGCCCCUUUAGGGAGCGCAUUUCUCCUACACAAUUAUGUUCUUGGGGAGUCUUCUCAAACAGGGAUUAUUAACCUGGCUCCAUGGGUGAACUGUGGGUAUCCUUAUGCUCCCUGGCAUUAUACACACAAUUUUGUACAUGUAGGGAUGUACCUGGUGGUCCCAUGGCCAAGUCUUAUUGCUCCCGAUGCAGGGGGCCUGGGUUUGAUCCCUGGUCAGGGAACUAGAUCCCACAAGCCACAAAUAAGAGUUUGCAUGUCGCGACUAAAGAUCGCACAUGCUACUCUGAAGACUGAAGAUCCUCCUGCAGCUAAGACCCAGUGCAGCCAAGUACAUUUUUUUUUUUUUUUUUGUACAUGCAGAAUACUUGAAAGAGUUCUUAAUAACGGAUGUCAAACUAGCAUGCAUAGAAUACCCAGUAAGGCUACUGAAUCAUAUUCACCAGUCUCCCCCAAAAAGGAUUUGAGAAUCACUGCUUGAGUAACACCUCCUAAAUUCUUAGGAAUUUAGUACCCAAGCAAACACAGCAGUAACAUCCUGUUGUUAAAUGAAGACUCAAAUGACCACCAGACUUGCUACCUUGUACCACACUGUUGCUGUUAUAAAAGAAUUAAUAUGACAAACAAUGGCUAUUUGAGAUAAAAUUUAUAUACUGGCCCUUAAGAAUAUAUAAAUGAAACACUGUCUAAUGUAAACCAAUCAUACAGAUUACUACAGGCUCAUAUUUCCUAGACCAAUGUGAUCUCAAACAGGAAAAAUAAUCACCAGAGCCAAAGAACAAUGUAUUGAAAAUGCCUCCCUCCUCACAUCUCUUCCUGCUUCUUUAGGCUCCCACGGUUCCAGGUCAGCUGUGGGAAGUCCUGGGUUGGCCAAAAAGUCCAUUCAGCUAGGAAAUAUGUUGUUCAUUAGUUUUUGGUGAAAAUGGGAAAAUGUGUAUUUUAUUUUUACUUAGACCCAAAUGAACUUUUUGGCCAACCCAGUAUGACAGCCUGAGGAAAAUCCCAAGGCUGGAGAGAAUUCCCAGGAAACUUGUAACAUAGAAACCCACCAUCCACAAAAGUAAGUUUCCACUUACAGAGACCCUUUCAACAUGUUCACCAAUCUAUUUGAAAAUAGCCAUGGGAAGUUGCACUUGCAGCACAGAGGCCACCAUAGUUUCUCACUGGCUGCUCAAGUUCCCAUGACACAGCACCGAACGCAUACUCCUCAUGACGGAACAUCACUUAGGACAUACAUUAGUAUCACCUGCAGAAUUUUGAAAAGUUUUCACGUUAUAUUUAAAUCUUUGUACUAAUCUUUUGCACCAUGUUUACAGUGGCCACUUAGAGACAUGCCCUGCAAGUAUAGCAACUUCAUGUUCAAAAUGCAAAGCCCUUGUUCAUGAUUCAACACGUGCUACCCAAAUGAGCAUCUUCCUGCCUUGAGAACGAAAGCAUCCACCCGAGGGACUCCCCUGUCACGGGGCUGCAUUCCUAGAGUGGGAGAAUCUGGGGUCAAAUCUCAACUUUGCCACCUAAAAGUGGCAUCACAGCAAUUAACUUCUCUGAGCCUCAGUUUCUUCAGCCAUAAUGUAAACAUGUCAAGCCUUUUUUUAAACAGAGUGGCUGUGAGGAUGAAAUGAAACAUAAUGAAUCUAAGAACAACCUAGAAUAUGACUUGCUCAGUAAAGGCCUGGAGAACCUGAAUGACAACUUGCAGUUAACUCACCCCCAGGCCUCUGCAUCUGGAGGGGAGAGGAUGAUGAGGGAUGCUGAGAAACACAGAGCCCUUUGGGUCACCGUCAUGCCAAGACUAAGGUUGACAGUGGUCACAGGACCAUCUUUGACCUUUCCAACUCUGUCCUGCCUCUGGCGUCCAGCAGCACAGCCUCCUGCCCAUAUCACAGUGCCACCCUUGACCCCUGGGGAGAGAAGAGCCCUGAGGAGCUGCUCCCGGCCGCCUUACCGUCAUGAUGAGCUUCUCCACACAGUCGGGUGCCACGCUGUGUAGGUGGGUGAGGUGCAGCUGGAGGUGGAUCUUGUUGUUGAGCAUGUCCUGGCAGAGGGGGCAGCGGAGCAUGGGCUGCACCGAGUGCUGCGUCAUGGCGUGCACGCGCAGCCGGUUGACGUCGGCAUUGCUGUACUUGCAGUAGGGACACUGGUACAUCUGUGGGGGACACAGCCACCCCGCCGGUUGACUCUUCAGUUCCCGUGGCAACAGUGUCUGUCCCAUGCCCGCCCACCCAAGACUUCACUCCCCAUCCCACUCCCCCCAGGUAACUGAAAUACUCUCCCACAGCACAGCCCCUCUGGGCCUCACCUGCUCCGGCUUGGUCUCCUCUGAUGUUUUUGGUCGCUUUGAAGAAAGAGGGGACUCCGAGCUACCUGGGAAGGAGAUGCGUUUGGAGGUUGCGGGAGAAUCUGUCAGCUCCUUCUCUGCUUGGCUUGAUGAUGCUGGAAGGAAAAACAGAAGAUGUAAUCCAGCAGCCAGGCCAGGCCAGCUCCCAGAGGAUGCGUGCUGGGUGAGAGUCAACAUUCAUUCAUAGCUCAGGGUGUUUGUGAAACACCCAAGUUAAAGGAGGAUGAGCAUCUGGAUGGGUUUAUCGGGCACGGUGGGAAAGAAGCAGGCAUUGCUUUCUGUUGCCAUGAAUUUCUGUCACUACACAAAUUUAACAACUGAACACCAAGGAAAAAAGGUGAAGAAAUGGACUAAAAAGCUCUGAGUUGGAUAAACCUACAUUCAGUCUGUUCUGACCCCCCUCCCCGCUGAUCAAGACACAACCUGUUGGCUAAUGAGGGUGGCUGGGGAAGUCUCACCAACUGCUCUGCCAAACACGAGUCAACCCAAGAACCAGACAGACUUUCAUAGAUGUAAUCAAUGGUAUGCACCCAACUUUAUUGUCACAGCUCUUGAAAUCAAAGGAGACCUGAUCAAUGUGAACCAAAGCUUGAUUUUUUGCAUGUAUCUGUUCACAUGCAAAAAAUCAAGCUUUGGUUCAGCAACUUGCUUUUGGCGGGGAGACGUAACUUAAGAGUGGAACUAGGCAGGGCGUAAAUCCAACUUAUAAACAAGCCAAUGCUCCAGACACAAGAGUUUACUCAGAGUGGGUGGUUCAGAGAGAGAGAGUUUCCUAUCUGCUUGCUUAGACCAUGCCCUCUCACCCCCAUGUCACCAAAAAGACAAAAUACUGACGAGGGAGGAGGGCGACCUGAGGCUUAAGCAGCAAACAGUGGGCACAGAGCAGCGGCGGAAGGAGUUCUCUGAGUCACGGAAAGAGACAUGCAAGAUCUGGAUGAGAAAACAGUUGGGCUAACAAGGUUUAACCAGGAUAAAUAAGCAGAACUCCUUUGGCAUAAACACAAAUCCUCAAGUGGUCAGAUCUGGUUAUUCCGAAACCUGGUCAGUAGCUUAAGGCUGGCCCUCUCACUUGUUUUGGAUGGAGAACUCCAUUUUUUAGAAUCUCAUUACAAGAGGCAAGAAGAAAAAUCCUAAAAAUGGUAGCGAGACAAGACAUACCCACUGUGUGCUGCCCUCACUGAAAAAUCAUUUGACUCCAUGUAGAGGUCAUUGGUAUGGAAAGCCUCAUUUCUACUCUUCGGUCACACUGCUUUCUGUCUCAUCCAGUCUAGUUACCCAGCACGUGUUUCCAGCUUUGAGAUUUGUUCUGAUGUGGAUACACAAGAUGCUGUCAUUACAGAUGUGUGCUUUAAUAAACAGUUGUAAAAAAUCAA
This is a long non-coding RNA of Bubalus bubalis (water buffalo), 11939 nucleotides long. RefSeq lists it as uncharacterized. Lineage: Eukaryota; Metazoa; Chordata; Mammalia; Artiodactyla; Bovidae. The record is from RefSeq and is a predicted model, not a curated record. The transcript has 5 exons.